RNAcentral lists this unclassified non-coding RNA (8941 nucleotides) under Neodiprion lecontei (redheaded pine sawfly). RNAcentral describes it as "chondroadherin-like, transcript variant X3". The record is from RNAcentral. Lineage: Eukaryota; Metazoa; Arthropoda; Insecta; Hymenoptera; Diprionidae.
AAGGGUGACAGCGUCGGAAAAACUAAAUUGUCGGAGUCUCUGCUUUUCGCACCUCUUUUACCUGAGUUCUGCGUUCUUGACGUCACGGGUGAUGAACUGAUUCACCCCACGACUCAACGGACCGUAUGAAGAGCAAAAGAAGUUCAUAUGGAAUGGCAGCCGGCUGGUGGGUGUUACGGGUGCAGUUCGUGGCGGUAAUGGUGGCCGUCAUGACGGGCGUUAGUGGUCUUUGUCCGGCACGGUGUAAGUGCGACGACGAGUUUUUGCGCGUAUCUUGCAUCUCGACUGGCCUCGACGUCGUUCCUAUUCAACUGAACCCGGAAAUCCGGCACAUCAACCUGGCCGGCAAUAGAGUGACCAGUCUUCAUCUGACCUUUGGGUUCUACGGCAAUCUCGAGACCCUCGACCUCAGCUCGAACCUCAUCCACACUCUAGGCUCUGACAAUUUUAAUCUCCAGCAGAACCUGCUCUCCCUAAACGUUAGCUUCAACUCCGUCCAGACGAUUUCCAAGAACGCAUUUCACGGCCUCAACGCCCUCAGGGAACUUGAUCUUAGUGGGAAUAACAUAACGGAAAUCGACAAGCAAGCACUCAGGUUCACCAGCGAAUUGGAAUCGUUGAAUCUUAGCAGAAACUCCCUCACAAGUCUUCCAGAUGGCCUGCUCAAGAAUCUCCACAAAAUUCGCACCCUGGUGCUGAACAAAAAUCCUCUUCUUGAGGCUCCCGCCAACAACCUGGCUCUCGCGCCAAGCUUGGAAAACCUUAACCUCGCCUACAACCUCAUACAAGAACUCCACAGAGACUCUCUGUCCUCCCUUCCGUCCCUGAUCACCCUGGACCUUGCAAACAACGUGAUAAGAGGCAUUAGUGAGGACGCAUUCGACCGUCUUCCGGGACUUUUGCGUCUCGAUUUAUCCGGGAACAACUUGACCUCGGUACCAACUGCUCCUCUUUCCAAACUGACUAUGCUGUCGAAGCUGAUACUCAGCCGAAAUCCUCUAGGAUCCCUCCAGACGAUCGCCUUCCAAAACCUGUUUGAGCUUCGUGACCUUGAACUCGAGGAGUGCUUAAUAGCGCGGAUUCACGCCAGAUCAUUCGCGGACAACAUUAAUCUCGAGCAGAUAUCGUUGGAUGGAAACACCGAGUUGGAAGAACUUCCAGAACGUAUUCUAUAUGGAGCGAGGUACCUGAAAUCCGUCUCGUUACGGAGGUGCAGUUUGGCGACACUGCAGCCGACCCAGUUUCCCGUCGACACUCUCGCCUCUUUUCAGGCCGGGGGUAACCCGCUUUUGUGCAACUGUUCCAUCCAGUGGCUGUGGAACGUGAUCCGGUCCGAGGAGCACCGAAACGAGUCCCGACUGAAGGUAGACUCCUUGGACAUCGUGUGUGCUGACGAGGAGUUCAAGGGCAAGAGGCUCAUUUCGCUACCUGAAAGCUCGCUACGGUGUCACUUGAGUCCCCUUUAUCUGUCGCUCUUCGCCAGUGGGUGCCUAAUCACGACGGCGGCGAUACUAGCCCUGAUAGUCUACGUGACCAAGGCGAAAAGGAAGAAGCAGCCGGCGUACACCGCGCCUAGGCCUGAACUCCUCGUCUACGUCGGCCAGGGUAGUGAGCUGGACAAGAACACCGAGUCGUACAGCAGACGACUGAUAGCCCAGCUUGAGGAGGUGGGCUACAACUCGCCUGGAAAGAUGCAGUGGGAUGCGCAACUGGCGCGACCCUCGCGGGACGCGAAAGACUUCAACCUCUACGAGACCCCGCAGUACGCAAGACCCAGUGUCCACGAGACGUCCACAGGGGUGUUGGUCCGGCCUCAGAGGUCCACCGACAUCUUGGACCCCUACUCAAGGCAGGACGAAGCCUACGCCGUGGCGGACGUUACCUCGCUGCAAGAAGAAGCUCCGGAAGUACUCUCUCUCUACCAUAUGCAGAGCUCUACCAACAGGUCAAACUUCCCCCCUGUCGUCGACUAUGAUGCACCCUUCCACUACCAGAAGCAAAAGCCGCACAUUGUUUUCGUCUGAUCGUUGGACAACGAGUGAUCAGUCCAAAGGAAAAGGGAUCGCGGAAUGAGCGCAGCUGAGGAAAUGGAAGGAUUCGUCAGACAAAGAAGCGAAUUUACUUUCGGAAUAUAACAAGGUCUCCGUGAGUCUGAUAGCAGCUGCUCGUUGAUGAAAAAGACUCCCUGACACAUUGGUCUUCAUAGGAGCGAGCCAUUAGGAUAGUACACGGUUGAACCUCGCUAACGUUACGCAGGAUCCCUACUAGGCCCCAGCGAAUUCCGCCACUUUUUCAAAUCUCGAUUCACGUUCGCGUGUGUGUAUGCGGAUAUUGAUGCUCGACUCGAGAGUGACUACUUGCAGUAGGUACUAUAGGAGGGUUGUUCAGUUGGGUAGGUGAAGUUGACGUUAGCGGGGUUACGCUGUACCAUGAAGUUGGACUUCACUUGCAAUUAUGAAGCUCAGAAUGAAUGUAAGUCAAAUGUGAGAUAACUGUGGCGUAUCAGCUCCGCUCAUUCGCUCACGUAAAAUCCGCAUAAUUUAUUAUAAAUUUGCUCAGCUGUCAGAAUUCAAAUAUUUUGUGAAUGUAGGUAAUAACGAAAAUAAGAUUAAUAAAAUCAAGCUUAAUUAUAGAUAUUAGUAAUAUGUAGCUCAAGAGAUGAUCGUGUACGACAAGUUGGGGGCUUUAAUGAAAAUAUUCCUCAGCCUUCUGCACUCGUCCAGAAGACACUUGCUUGAAAAUUUGUAAGUUCUCAGAGUCGCACUAAUUUCAGACGCAUCAUCGUGGUAUCGGGUACUGGUGUUACGUGAAGACCAACACAAAUGUACAAAUUGUAUGAUCAAAUGUACAAUCAAAGCAGUCAUUUCACAGGAUGUGUAUAGGUGUUCAUUAGAUGAACGAUGAACUAGGGUGAAUAUCAUUUUGCACUGCUCAGCUCAUUUAGAUUAGUUUUGCGAAACAUCACAGUCAAGUUGUGUGAGAGAUUCCACCGGGGCUUCAAAUGGGUUUUAUGCCCUCAGUUGAAAUCAGUCUUUUCCGAAAACAAUUCUGUUCAUAAUCUCUCUGUUCUCAAAUUUUCAGAAACAAAAGUAAAUCGUCUACUUUAGUUAUCAUAAAUCCGAUGAAACAUGAUAUUACGUUUUCUUAUUUUUUAAUCAUUCAUUUUUAAUAGCUUCAACCAAGUUCUAAAUUUAUUAUUUCCUAUGAAACCAUAAUUCUGAUGACAUAACUAAAAACUUAUAUUUUAUAGUUCUCGAUUAAUGUCUACGCUUUCAAAGUUUGAAAGUAUGGCCAGAAAUAAACAUGCGCUCACAAAUCUAGAUGUGAAAGUCUUGAAGUUAUAUUGUCGUUGAAAUUGGGAAUUCUUUAAGUUGAUUUGUACAUUUCUUGAUUGAUAUACAUAGUGACAAAAUUAUUCACAGCAAAUGAUGAAUCGUAAAAUGAUAAUAGACCGAAUCCAUUUCAAAUUGGUCAAGCAAAGCGAAAAUUGAUUGGACGAAAAUUUGUAACCUAACGAAAUUGGAAUAUGUUGUUUUCUAAGGUAAAAAAGAGACUCGUAUUUUCUUGUUUGACAGGAAAACGAAAUUCCUACAAAAUUAUGGCCGUUCGAAUAUUUACGCGCCCGCUACAGAUGUUCUAAUGAAACAAAUGCAUUUUUUCUUCAACACGCUAUAUCUUCGGAACGAAUUAAGAUAAUUGCAAGUUUCUGGUUUCAUUUUGUGAAGUUUUUAGCGUACUUUCACAGCCCAUGAAGAAGCUGGAAGUUGAAUAUAGCGCCCCUUUGUCAAAAAUUUGAAAAAAUUGGUUCUCUCAAAUCCGAUUUUUCUCUGUCCCGCAUUUCACACAAUAUACGGAGUGAUAUGCUUCAUUUAUCCCAUAAGUUUGAUGCUAUGAUAUGCCUUCGUAUGUGAAAACCAAAUUCCUGCGUUCUAAUGAAAUUUUCCAAUUUCUGUACUAUUCUUAAUGUUUUUAUACUAUUACAAACCACGGUGAGUUUUUGAUAGAAGAAAAAUUGUACUAGAAACUUGUUCCAGCUAUAGCUGGACUGCUGAAGUAAUAGAUAAUCGAACAACGUACGAUGUCCGAAUUCUAUAUAGACUAUAUUUCUAUUCAGCUAAACUACCAAAUGGUCUAACGCGAAACAUCGAAGAACUUUGUAAUUAAGAGUUUAUUUCAUUACACAAGGCAUUAAUUAUGUAGCAAUUUCUAAUGAAACGAUAGUUGAAAAGUCUCUUACACUUCUACGCCUGAUGAAAUUCUCGAUUAGGAAGUUCGUCGAUGUUUUACGCUAGACCCUUUGGUGCUUUGACUGAACAGAAAUAUGGUCUAGAAUUCCGACAUUGUACGUAGUUCGAUUCUCCAUUACUAUAAAAAGUCACUAUGUUGAUAAUUUUCAAAAAUCUUCUAGUUUCAUCGUGGGCUUUGAAAGAACGCCAAAAACUUCACACAAUGAGACCAGAAACUUGGAAUUGCGUUAAUUUGUUCCAUAGAUAUAGCGUGUUCAAGAAAAAAUUCGUUCGAUUUACUGUAAGAUUUUUAGCGAGCACGUAAAUAUUCGAACAGUCAUAAUUUCGUGGGAAAAAUGUUAUUUAGCCAAACAAGAAAAUAUGAGUUCCUUUUUUUUACCUCAGAAAACAUCAUAUUUCAGUUUCGAAGAAUUCUGCAACAUUACGUUUUCCGGGCUGCCCUAACUGAGAUGGAUUCGAUCAAUAUAUUAACAGUAUCAUAUUGAACUUCGAUAUAGUUUCAAUAAUCCAACAUGCACACUAUCAAGUGAAACUUUAGUGAUGUACGAACUAAAAUAAUCAAGAGAACAGUUAUUGUUGUAUUAGGAUUAUGAGUCCUUAGAAAGCAGCUGAAAUAAUUAUGAAAACUUUUUACUGAAAUUUAAAAUCAUGCUGCGCUAUCAUGACUACAAGUUUGACAUGCGUAACAACGAAAACUGAUAUGCGCUACUAGAUUGAUCAAAUUCCCGAAACUUCCUUAUAAGUAUACAUCAGUUUCAGACGUAUCGGAAAUUGAUAAUACUCGUUUGCGAUUCGUUCGUGCUUAGGCAGGAUUGUCAAUAGUCAUGGAAAGUACUUGUAAAACCUACUAAGUGUUAAUAAUUAGGGUUACGAUGGUGCCAAUUUUGAUUAUAAUAUACAUAUAAUAUUAUUAUAUAAAAAAAGUCUAAAGAUACGUGAAGAUUAUUAUGCGUUCUAUCAACCUUCUGGAAUACCACAGAGUAAUUCAUAUAAUACGAUUAUCCCGUUUUCCAAUAUGCUCACAGCUGUAUUUUCCCGAACGAUCCGAAUUUGAUUUUUAAUAUAAUUCCAUUACAAAUGACGAAGCAUUCCUAAAAGCUCGCUUGAACAACGGGGAGCUGCAUCGUCCAGCUUCUGAACUCGGACUUCGUUGAGAUAUUUUGCAAGUCACCUACGUGCCAAAAACACAGACAUUCGCAAUAAGGACCGGUGCAACUUAGCAGGUUGAGCGUCAGAUUGCGCAUGCGCGGGGUAUUCGGAAUUUAAUACAGACUGGCCACCUUAAGCCACAGCUGUCAAACGUAGCUUUCCGAGGUUAUGUAAGUGAUGCUAAUUUUUGAGGCUAAGCUGGUCUCAAAUAGUGGAUAUCAGCCUUAAGAAAAAGCUUAGCAAACAUUUUUCGUCAACUGACUAGUGGCCGAUGAUUGAUACGAGUCAUCAUAGCAACAUAAUUUUAAUUCCGCACUUCAUACGGAAGACAUUAAAAUCUCAUCUUCCAUUUCUAGUAAGUUGGCACCCCUGCCUUGCGAACGAAAAUAUUGCCGUGGUACGAUCUGUCAGAGCAAUGGAGUUCUAUUAGUUUUCGCAGGCGCAGUCACUCAGCCUGCUAAGAUUCACCGUUUCAUCUCUGCAGAUACAAGAACUUGAAAUAGCAAUUCACGAAGCUUGGUGCAUCAAGGUUUGAACCGCUUGAUAGUUGAUCGACAUGAUAUACAAUCAUAUCCUUUCAGUACGAUAUGUCCGCCUACUAUCCAAAGGAUGUAGCUUCAUUGCCAAUUAGAAUUGGUAGCCCUGUAUUCGAGUUACCAAACUACCGAAGUAGCAAUUGGAGAGCAUUCGAUCAUCUGCAACUGUUUCAUCAGCAUACGGUGUACAGAUAAAAAAUUAGCAAACAAUACGUGAAUCAGCCUGCCUGUCUAUCUCUUUAAUUCGUCAAUUGCAAUUUUCGCUGUCAGUGAAAGUAGGUAUUAUGUGAAUUUAUUCAUUUAUGACAUUUUUUUAAAUUUACGAAAGCUCAACAAAAAUGCUCUCACACAGUGAAUGAGGUAUUUUUUAAUUUCUGUUUCAGCUCAAGUUACGAAGUGUAAAUGCCAAUUAUAAUGAAAUAACUUGGAAUACCUACAUAUUUAUAACCUUAUACACACUGAGAACAGGUGUGCGAAAAACAAUUAAUCGUCUUCCGGUGUAGACUGUAUACAUUGCUGAGCUAUAUUUUAUAAAUCUACGGUGCACCUGUUUUUUUAUACUGCAAGGUUUUCUUGCAAGGAUCUGCCCGUAGCGCGCGCAAUUCAACUUGCUCAAUUUUGAUUCGCUGAUAUCCAUGCACGUAGCCUGAAACAAACUUUCACUGAUAAGAAGAAAUUCCCUAGAAUCAACCGAUUGACAAGUAACAGUUAACCAUAACCUCUCACCUAUUAACCCCUUGAUGGACAGAUAGGCUCACGGCGCAGCCAUGAUUCCUUACACAUCAGUCACUCUGUCCACCAUGCUAGUAAAAUUUUUACGAAACUGGCAACACAUAUAAGCUAGACGAUGGCAGGUCCUUUCAGGAAAACGUCUAGGUAUAUUCCUGCAUAAGAAUUAGCAAUUUUAAUCAAAAUAACACCAGUACACUUACAAGUAUGGUACGAAAUUCAAUAUCAUACACUCACACAGACAUAACACGAGGGCUGCUAAUUGAAAUAAAUGAGAAUUAUCGGUUCUCAAUUGGUUCUUAACAUUUAUCGGAUCAAAUCAUGUUGAUAGAAUGUUUCUAUACAAGAAGCGAUAAAAUUCAGUAGAAAUCAGAAGAUUAGAAUAGACGAAUAUUACGUACCUUUUACUAAUGUAAAAUGUGGAAAAAUAUUAUCUAUAAAAACUAUUUUAAAGAUUGCACAACGUCCUACACAUAGCAAUUCUUGCAGCACUCAAAGAACCAAAUCCAAUGUUGAAAAGGGUGAUGAUUUACUUUUUCUUUAAUGGUUUCUGAUAUUCUUCAAAAAAAUCUCACUCCAAAGUUGCUCGUGUAUAACGAAAUGGUAAUAAUCUUUUCUUGAAUUUGACGCUUAUAAUACAUGAGUAACACAAUAUCAAUCCUUUUCUUCAAAUCUGCUGUUUCAACUCUAAAUUUCAUGCCAUGCACGAUUCGUUUAUGUAGUAUAAUACAUGUAUGCAAGUAUUCAUCUGCCAUUUUGGGAGACAACAAGCUACAAUUUUCAUUGUCUUUGAUUACAUACGUAUUGUCAUGAAGCAAGUGAUUUCCAUCGUGUAAUCAAACGCCCUCAAGUUUAAAUCACACUUGGUUCAGCCAGAUUAGGAAAUACUCGUGCAAACUAAUUGGAUUGGAGGUAAACAUUCAGCCAAUAAUAAUCAAUCGAUACCACCAAUCAACCAAUUAACCCGAACAACGAUGAUUCGCAAACAUUGUUUAAUUACAUAGAAAUGUACAAAGAUAAUAUGUUGAUGCUACAGAGCCCGAUGAUUCAAUCCAUUAUCAUAGUUGCUCUCAAAUAUUUGCACAAGUAUAUUUAUAGGUUUCUAAUGGAUUGUUUUGCAAUGAAAUAUAUUUCAUCAGAUUGAAUCGUGUUUAAAAAAACGCUAAUAUCAUUCAACGGUAGCAAUAAUAAUACUAGGUUCCAAAAAGCAUCAUUGCCCUGAGCAAAAAUUUUUAAUCGUUAGUUCAUUUUAUAUGUAAUAUAUAUAUACAAGAUUUACGAUAGCACAUAGAUUAUGAUACAAGAUGGACGGAAUACUGCAAAUACUAAAUUUGCGAUGGUAAUUUUUGGCAGUAAAAAUUCUUAAAUUCUUACAUUGCGCCAAUUAUGCAGCGAAACCUAAGGUUCCGAUAACUAGAGCAUCAAAAACGCUGAAACAAGAGGAACGCCUCUGGACAUUCGAUGUCGAGGAUUUAGGUGCGGUGAAAAUUCUACGGAAUAGAUUAAUUCAGCAAUUGAAAUGUUUGAAUUACAAUUAAUACAAAUGCGAUGGAAUAAGUCAAACAUAUUCUAUUGUGAAUAUAUUUCUACACGCCGGUUUUAAGACGAUAAAACACAAAUUCUGCACAACACACGUUGUAGACGAAUAUCCGAUGUAACUCUUUUCGUUCAAUCCCAUAAAUUGCAUGUACGGGGAAUAUUUCUUGAAGGGAGGGGACCGAUGAAUAUUCCUUGUAUACAAGCUGAAUGCAAUAAUUUUCUAAAUAUAACGUUUAAAAAUCGUACUCAAUAAGAUUUCGUGCUAGCCAAUUGAAAUACAAAAACACAACGCCAAGUUUAUUCUAUACACAUACAAACACACGUAAUACACUAUAAAUAUUAUACGAUGCAUAUAAACCUUAUAGUUGUGCGGUACUUCAUUUACUGGCCCUGUUUGAAAUAUGUAAAAAUUGAAGCAAUAACAGUUAAGAUUAUAUUGUAUACAUAUAUAUAUAUACAUAUAUAAAUACCAAAUAUAUUAUAUAUUUAUAUAUUUAUUAAUUUGUAUGAAUGACAAUGUUACGUUUUGGAUAUAAAAUAUACUGACACAGUAUGAAUAAACUUAUGUUUGAAUAAUAUGAACCGCCGAGUUCGUGAAAUUAAGUAUUAUAAACGUAAUCGGUGUUCCACCAUUUUUUCCCCCAGACUGCACAUUGCACCCUGCACGUCUUUCUGUCUUUCUUAUUCACUUUCUUCUCUACUGAUCAUAAAUCACAGCUUAAAAAGAUUGAUUGCGUGAAA